AGCGGAGGAAAAGAAACCAACAGGGAUUGCCUUAGUAGCGGCGAGUGAAGCGGCAAAAGCUCAAAUUUGGAAUCUGCCAGCAAUGGCCGAGUUGUAAUUUGUAGAUGGUAACUCUGUAAGGAGUCUUUGCUCAAGUUUCCUGGAAUGGAAUAUCAUGGAGGGUGACAAUCCCGUGAGGCAUUGACGUACUUGCGUGUAGAGUGCUAUCAAAGAGUCGAGUUGUUUGGGAAUGCAGCUCAAAGUGGGUGGUAGACACCAUCUAAAGCUAAAUAUUGGCGAGAGACCGAUAGCGAACAAGUACUGUGAAGGAAAGAUGAAAAGCACUUUGAAAAGAGAGUGAAAAAGUACGUGAAAUUGUUAAUAUGGAAGGGUAUAAGAUUAGACAUGAAGCUUUGAGUUCGGCAGUCUCUCGGGAUUGUUUUGUCUCUUAGUUUCGCACCAGCAUCAGUUUUGGCAGGAGGAUAAACAACAUGGAAUGUAGCUGCUUGCAGUGUUAUAGACUUGUUGCAUACUCUUUGCCGGGAUUGAGGUCAGCCUUUGUAGGAUGCUGGGGUAAUGAUCUUAUACCACCCGUCUUG
Molecule: ribosomal RNA, 578 nt
Filed under: Wickerhamiella natalensis
Lineage: Eukaryota; Fungi; Ascomycota; Dipodascomycetes; Dipodascales; Trichomonascaceae
Description: LSU rRNA
Rfam family: Eukaryotic large subunit ribosomal RNA
Source: RNAcentral